GCGGCGAUUUCGCGCUGGUCCUCCAUGCGGGGCGCGGCGCUUAGUUAGGGCAGGACGGGAAGGUCGGCGAGGAGGCGGAAGGAACAAGGAGGCGAAGGAUAGAAGGUGAAUAAGAGGAAAAGAGAGAAGGGGCAGAGGCGGCUUCGCCGGGGCAGACCGAAGAGAAAACCCAAGGAAAGAUGCGGUGGUUUAUUCGUCGAAUAAAAAAAGAUAACAACAUUUUUCUCCGAAUUAUUUGUUUCCUGUUUUUAUGAGGGCAAAAUGGGAAUUCUGCGUUGGAAAGAGAUGUGUUGUGUCGGUGAAUCGGAUGCCCUCCCGGCUUGGACGGUGUCGGGGACGAUAUCU
Molecule: long non-coding RNA, 345 nt
Filed under: Phoenix dactylifera (date palm)
Lineage: Eukaryota; Viridiplantae; Streptophyta; Magnoliopsida; Arecales; Arecaceae
Description: long non-coding RNA (PDAC_LNC016485)
Source: RNAcentral